UUGUCUCAAAAAUAAUUUUUGUAUAUGAAUAUUUACCAAAACUAUUGUGUAUAUUACAUAAAAUGUAGAAUAGUAGAUAAUUACAAAAAAUUGGAUUGGUCAAAACAAAAGUGACCACUAAUAUUUAAGGGUGAGGAUCACACUCUCUUUUAACCACAGCCCUUGAUUAAACUAAAUCUAAUGGACCAAAAUGAACAAGGUGAAAAGUUGUGUUCUUAAACUCUCUCUCCUGUUACCUAUGGUAUCCUAUUCUUCUCUUCCAUUUUAUCUAUCUCUCAUCUUUUUCCCAUGCCUUAACACAAAGUUUGUCUCAACCACCAUCUAUCUCAACCCGGCCUUAACGCUCUCUCCUCUCUUCUCUCACCUCUGUUUCUUCAACUCAAAGUCUGUCUCCUCUCUCUCAACAGUCUGCUGGCCAGAUGCCGAGUGACAAGACUUUUGGCGGCGAAGGAGACAGGAGAAACUUCUUGGCGGAGGAGGCGCGACAGGCAGAUCGAACAGUGGCUCCAUCACCAGAUUGAGUCCUCGCUUUAACCAUAGCACCCAGAGCGGGUGAAGGUGUCGGUGUAGAAGCUAAUGGAGGUGUCGGAGGAGGAGGACGACGGCGGUAAAUUUAGGUUUCCUUAGGUUUUUUUUUGUCGUUUUCUUUUGUAUUUUAUGUGUAUUUGUGUAUAUAUAUUUGUGUUUUUGUGUAUUUAUAUAUGGUUCUAUAAAUAAAUAUUGAAAUCAGUUUAUAAAACCUAAUUAAUUUCUGUUGCACAAAAAGAAGAAACCUAAUUAAUUUAUACAUCGUAUAAUCUUAUAAACCGAAUUCAUUAAAU
RNAcentral lists this long non-coding RNA (821 nucleotides) under Brassica napus (rape). RNAcentral describes it as "long non-coding RNA (BNAP_LNC018550)". Lineage: Eukaryota; Viridiplantae; Streptophyta; Magnoliopsida; Brassicales; Brassicaceae. The record is from RNAcentral.